CGGUAUAGAAUCCGCUUCGCCGUCGAACAUUGAGCAGGAGCGCGGAAAUUGGAGGCACUGCUGCGAUUUCUGAUGCUGGGUCCCCACGGAAAUUGAAAUCCGAACUUGGCCUUGCUCGCAAAUUCGAAGCUUACCCAACGUUGCGUCGUCUUUGAAGAAGCUCCGGAAUCGUGCUGCAUUUGCCCCGGAAGAAGCCGCACGCUUCGUGUCCUCGAAGCUCGCCGUUCGGUGGUCUGCUUCGUGCAAUUCGUGGUUGCUGCGCUCGGAUUCUUUUGGUGUAUGAGAAACCCCCUGGAAUUCGAAUGUCGUGCGUUGUAACUGCGGCAGAAAAAACUGUGCUGAUAGAAUUUUCACUGCUGGUGGUGGUGGUCGGACUGGUAGGGAAGAGCGUGGCGGGUAAUGUGAUGGAGGGCGGGGUUUAGCGGGUGUGAGAUGAAGCUGAAGCUGGGUGAUCAAGGUGAGCUGAGUGACCAAUUCAAAUGAUGGGUUACAUGAAGCUCGGGAGAGGCGCGCCGGGAGUGGAGAAGAUUGGAAGCAUGGGCUUUAGUAACGGGGAGAUUAUGAGCAGGCAGCAGAGGGCAGGCGAGGUUAGGUUUUCGCCCAAUUCAUUUCAAUAUACUGCGUUUGAAUAAUUGUUUUUGGCAUGCGUUAUGUUUACAGGCGACAAGAUUCAGACUUGCAGGGGUGGUCACAGCCGUUGGAAUGGGGAAUGCGCCUUAUUGUUACAUGGUUUUUUUGUUCGAGCUCUAUUGGCUGUUCGAAUUGGCUUCGCCAUCAUCGUUUCAGGUGAAGGGGAAGAGGUCCUACCCAUGGAGGGCAAUUUGCGAAGGAAGCCCUAAGACAGGGCUCACUGGAGAGUUCGUGUCACUCAUUGGCAGCCAUGCCCAGCUGUUUUCGUCAGCAAAUGCCAAAUGCGAUCUUCUGCUGCUUUUCUUCAUUGCCUUGCUUUUUCAACUGUACCCUUCCACUCGAGGAGCUCGCCAUUGCCUCUAUAAGGACUAGCUUUUGAUUCAGCAAAUGAGGGUCAUGAACGGCGCCAUUGCCUUGAUCGUCGUUGUGCUGUGUCUGGAAGUGGGGGUUGUAUUCUGCUCGUUCUAGUAAUACAUCCAAAUAUCAUCUCCUUGGAAUGACUCUCUCGUGACAAUCGCAGCAAUGGGAGGUUCAGCGGGAUUGGGAGCAUAUCUAGUUGGACUUAUUGGAGAUGCUGUGUGAUCUCUCUUUUUCUGUUCUUAUGGUGGCGGCUUCAUUUUCGGCAUCUGACUCUGUCGGGUUGCCCAGGACGGUUUGCGACUUCUUAUAGUAGCACAUCAAUUUCUUUUUUUUUAUUCAAAAUCUUUCGAUCCUAUCAUAUAUAAUCUGCAACACACCUAGAUCAUUCAUGUGUUGAAUUUAUCAGCUUGCAGUUGCACUCUUUGAGCUUACUGAUGGUUAUAAUGAUGGCAGUAAUGUUGAAUUGACCUUAGCAAAUACUUUGCAGGUAUAUUAUUGGAGGUGGUGUGGUGGCAAUUGGUGUCCCUGGGCUUGACAUCCUUCCGAAUAUAGCGCGAUAUGCCGCUGAGGUUGGGCUUGUGGGCCAUGCUCUGAUAGUGUGUCACUUGGAGAAUCAACUUCAUAGUCUCACGAGGAUAGAUGAAAGGGAGGAUUUAGGAUGACGCCAUGGCAAGGAAUGGGCCAUGGCGCGGUUGUAGGCAUAUCACUUUUGCUAUGUCGCUUUACGACAUUUGAAGCUUUAUAAUGGUGGACAGGAGUGCCUCUAUCAGAUGGGUUGAUGCUGGGCACCUUAAAUAUGUCGACAGGUAUUGCAGGUGCUCCGAUCGUCACGCAGUAUUUCCCCAACAUACAGAGUGUCAAGAGAGACUUGGUGCUUGUGAUGUCAUUAGGUUUCUCCUAAAUCGACUACGUUUCAGCCUCCGAUACCAGAGGGUUGGACUUAUCUGUGGGACAAAGCUCACAUGCCGGUAAAAUCUGCUGAUAGUAUUGCUAUUUAUGGAGCCGCAGCAGAUCCGCCUGCUUGGCCAAUAUUUCUUCUCAUUAUAGCUCUCGACGUAUCAAGUUGCCUUUGAAAUCAUGUUGAAGUUGACAACCAUCAUAGCAGACAGGGUUUUCUAGAAGAUUGUGGACGGUCAUGGGCCCAAAUUUCGUCUCACUCAACAGUGAAAGCCCUCAUCAACCAAUGCAUUCAGUAUGAAGAAGCUCGCUGCAGAGGGCGCGUGGAUGGCAACCAUUGGCAAUAUGGCAACACUACUAUGCUUCAUCCUUUGUCUAAUUCUUGACUCUCACCUAGCUGGAGGCUCUGACGUGUCAAUUGUCCUCACACCAAUUUUAUUGCUCUUAAAUCAGGACUACAAUAUGUCUGGUUUUGGAAACCGACAGCGGUACUUUCCAGUGACUGCAGCGGUUUCAGGUUAUCUAAUUGUUUCAGCAGGCUGUCGGUUGUGGAUUGAAGUCCAUCACGGCUACCAGAGUUCGGACUGGGGGAUGCAGACAGGUGGACCUGGUCUUUUUUUUAUCUUGCAAAGAACAUAUUCUUCCUUACCUUCAUCGUGACAAAUCAUUGUUUGCUUGUUUCUUUCUUUUCUUUUCUUUUCAACUCGUUCAUGUAGAACUAUAUCAAAUUGUCGGACAGGUUGUUACUCUUGACGACGCCAACGAAUUUGCCAGCAGCCAUUGCAACCAACAUUAUCAUCAUCCGAUUCUUAGCCUGCGUAGGAAUGGUCUAUGCCCUUGUCCAAUAUAUAAUGUCCAAUGUCCAGGACCAUUCGGAUCGCUGGGAUGAGAUUAAUUUGAGACAACUUUUCCUCGACCCCUGUGAGAUGUAAUCAGGCCAUGGAACGUCUAACAGCAGCAUUUUCCUUGAGGUGGGAAAGCGAAACCAUGGCCUUGCAUUAUCAAAUAGUUGUUGAUGGAGCUGUAAGUAUUUGUGUAAUUUUUUCCAGCGUAUUGUGGAAUUCAGUGCCGGGGCCCACUAGAUUAGUUGCAGGAUAGUUGUCUGGGUUUGAUACCGUGUGUUUAUGUGAACUUGGUCAAUAAGUCCGCCACUCUUGAGUAACUGAAGUUGUAGUUGAGCGUCGAGGAUAUGUGAUUUGUGCAGGAAUAGAUAAACCCCAGUGGUUAAUUAAUGAAUUAAUUAAUUAAUUACAUCGGUUAGUACUCUCAGAUCUCCAAUAAAGUCAGACGACGAGAAUAGAAAUGAUUGUGCAUGGCAUUCUUCUCUAGUCUAGUGAAUUUCUUACUGGCUUGAUCAACUUUUGUAGAAUUUUCACAAGACGUCUCAUUCAACUUUUAAGCUUAUGCAGCUUGUACUAGUAGGAGCUUUCCUUUAACGCAAAUGUAUAAAUAUCCUGUGAUUCUU
Molecule: non-coding RNA, 3352 nt
Organism: Physcomitrium patens
Lineage: Eukaryota; Viridiplantae; Streptophyta; Bryopsida; Funariales; Funariaceae
Source: RefSeq, a predicted model, not a curated record